Molecule: ribosomal RNA, 253 nt
Filed under: uncultured bacterium
Lineage: Bacteria
Description: partial 16S ribosomal RNA
Rfam family: Bacterial small subunit ribosomal RNA
Source: RNAcentral
UACGUAGGGCGCGAGCGUUGUCCGGAAUUAUUGGGCGUAAAGAGCUCGUAGGCGGUUUGUCGCGUCUGCUGUGAAAACUCGGGGCUUAACCCCGGGCCUGCAGUGGGUACGGGCAGACUAGAGUGCGGUAGGGGAGACUGGAAUUCCUGGUGUAGCGGUGAAAUGCGCAGAUAUCAGGAGGAACACCGGUGGCGAAGGCGGGUCUCUGGGCCGUAACUGACGCUGAGGAGCGAAAGCGUGGGGAGCAAACAGG